GAAAAGUGGUCAUCAAUGAAUUUAAUAAUUCAACAAAUAAUUAUUGAGCUCAUACCAUGUGCCAAAGAUGGUGUUAUGAGAGAGUUAAAACUGUGAACAAAAUACACAAAGUCUUCACCCUUACAGAGUAAUAUUUUACAGGGGACAACAUUGGUUAACUAUAUAGUACAUUGCCACGUACUAUAAAGAUAAUACAGUACAGUUAGGUAGUUAUAAGUAUUGUGAAAACAGUGAGUGGGAAAAGCCACCCUGAGGAGUUACAAUGUGAGCAAAGACCUGAUCAAAGUGAGAUAACCAAGUAUGCAAAAUCCAGAGGAUGAAUGUUCUGUCAUAAUAAAAACAUUUAGGUUACAUUAGUGGAAAUGGUAGAGUACAGAUGUUGGAAACCACUCUCCUCUGUAAAAGCAAGGAAAGCACCAGUAAAAACUGUUAAUACUUUUUUUUUUUCAGAAUGCUGGGAAUUAACCAAAGGCUUGGAAUAAUCAAGAACACUUAUUUAAGAAAAAUAGCUGCAUCUUGGUGCCACUUUUAAGAUGAGCAGAGACUGCAA
This 550-nucleotide long non-coding RNA is filed under the name Homo sapiens (human). RNAcentral describes it as "HSALNT0286820". The record is from RNAcentral. Lineage: Eukaryota; Metazoa; Chordata; Mammalia; Primates; Hominidae.